UGUUAAAUGCUCAGUGGCUACGGCCACACUAA
This 32-nucleotide small RNA is filed under the name Bombyx mori (domestic silkworm). Its description in RNAcentral is "ovarian small RNA-35983". Lineage: Eukaryota; Metazoa; Arthropoda; Insecta; Lepidoptera; Bombycidae. The record is from RNAcentral.